ACGGAGGAUGCGAGCGUUAUCCGGAUUUAUUGGGUUUAAAGGGUGCGUAGGCGGGAAAAUAAGUCAGUGGUGAAACCCUGCAGCUUAACUGUAGACUUGCCAUUGAUACUGUUAUUCUUGAGUAUGGUCAAGGUAGGCGGAAUGUGUAAUGUAGCGGUGAAAUGCUUAGAGAUGACACAGAACACCGAUUGCGAAGGCAGCUUACUGGGCCAUUACUGACGCUGAUGCACGAAAGCGUGGGGAUCGAACAG
Molecule: ribosomal RNA, 251 nt
Filed under: uncultured prokaryote
Description: partial 16S rRNA
Rfam family: Bacterial small subunit ribosomal RNA
Source: RNAcentral